This 482-nucleotide ribosomal RNA is filed under the name uncultured bacterium. Its description in RNAcentral is "bacterial SSU rRNA". It matches the Rfam family "Bacterial small subunit ribosomal RNA", at positions 45 to 524 of the family's 1533-position model. The record is from RNAcentral.
GGCCUAACACAUGCAAGUCGAACGGCAGCGCGGGGCAACCUGGCGGCGAGUGGCGAACGGGUGAGUAAUAUAUCGGAACGUACCCUGGAGUGGGGGAUAACGUAGCGAAAGUUACGCUAAUACCGCAUACGAUCUACGGAUGAAAGUGGGGGACCCGCAAGGCCUCAUGCUCCUGGAGCGGCCGAUAUCUGAUUAGCUAGUUGGUGGGGUAAAAGCCCACCAAGGCGACGAUCUGUAGCUGGUCUGAGAGGACGACCAGCCACACUGGGACUGAGACACGGCCCAGACUCCUACGGGAGGCAGCAGUGGGGAAUUUUGGACAAUGGGCGCAACCUGAUCCAGCAAUGCCGCGUGCAGGACGAAGGCCUUCGGGUUGUAAACUGCUUUUGUACGGAACGAAACGGUCUCUUCUAAUACAGGAGGCUAAUGACGGUACCGUAAGAAUAAGCACCGGCUAACUACGUGCCAGCAGCCGCGGUAAU